UACGAAGGGCGCAAACGUUGCUCGGAAUUAUUGGGCGUAAAGCGCACGUAGGCGGCUUUGCAAGUCGGAUGUGAAAUCCCUCGGCUUAACCAAGGAAGUGCAUCCGAAACUGCAGAGCUUGAGUACUUAAGAGGAUCGCGGAAUUCCCGGUGUAGAGGUGAAAUUCGUAGAUAUCGGGAGGAACACCAGUGGCGAAGGCGGCGAUCUGGGAAGAUACUGACGCUGAGAUGCGAAAGCGUGGGGAGCAAACAGG
Molecule: ribosomal RNA, 253 nt
Filed under: uncultured bacterium
Lineage: Bacteria
Description: partial 16S ribosomal RNA
Rfam family: Bacterial small subunit ribosomal RNA
Source: RNAcentral